UUGUUUGCUCUUGGAGCACCAUCAAGAUUCACAUGGUUUAGGGGAUUUUGGUUCAGGAUGGUCCCCGGUUGCUCUUAAUCAAGUGUAGCCCUUUGAUAUGAGAAUCUUGAUGAUGCUGCAGCGGCAAUAAA
MicroRNA precursor from Lupinus angustifolius (narrow-leaved blue lupine), 131 nucleotides. It matches the Rfam family "mir-172 microRNA precursor family". From Rfam's summary of the family: mir-172 has been experimentally verified in Arabidopsis thaliana. This family is thought to target mRNAs coding for APETALA2-like transcription factors. Lineage: Eukaryota; Viridiplantae; Streptophyta; Magnoliopsida; Fabales; Fabaceae. The record is from Rfam.